UACAGAGGUCUCAAGCGUUGUUCGGAUUCAUUGGGCGUAAAGCGCACGUAGGCGGCCUCAUAAGUCGGAUGUGAAAUCCCUCGGCUCAACCGAGGAAGUGCAUCCGAAACUGCGAGGCUCGAGUAUGGAAGAGGGUCGCAGAAUUCCCGGUGUAGAGGUGAAAUUCGUAGAUAUCGGGAGGAAUACCAGUGGCGAAGGCGGCGACCUGGGCCAAUACUGACGCUGAGGUGCGAAAGCGUGGGGAGCAAACAGG
RNAcentral lists this ribosomal RNA (253 nucleotides) under uncultured bacterium. RNAcentral's name for it is "partial 16S ribosomal RNA". It matches the Rfam family "Bacterial small subunit ribosomal RNA", at positions 524 to 776 of the family's 1533-position model. The record is from RNAcentral.